Molecule: ribosomal RNA, 253 nt
Filed under: uncultured bacterium
Lineage: Bacteria
Description: partial 16S ribosomal RNA
Rfam family: Bacterial small subunit ribosomal RNA
Source: RNAcentral
GACAGAGGGGGCAAGCGUUGCUCGGAAUCACUGGGCGUAAAGGGCGCGUAGGCGGGAUGGCAAGUCGGUCGUGAAAUCCUUCGGCCCAACCGAAGAACGUCGGCCGAUACUGCCAUUCUUGAGGAUUGCAGAGGAGACUGGAAUUCCCGGUGUAGCGGUGAAAUGUGUAGAGAUCGGGAGGAACACCGGUGGCGAAGGCGGGUCUCUGGGCAAUUCCUGACGCUGAGGCGCGAAAGCGUGGGGAGCAAACAGG